GACGAACGCUGGCGGCGUGGAUUAGGCAUGCAAGUCGAACGGUAUGUGUUCUUCGGAACACAGAGAGUGGCGAACGGGUGAGUAACGCGUAGGUGAUCUACCUUCAGGCGGGGGACAACCCAGGGAAACUUGGGCUAAUACCGCAUGUGGCAGCAAUGCUAAAGCCGGCCUCUGCUUGCAAGCUGGUGUCUGGAGAUGAGCCUGCGUCUGAUUAGCUAGUUGGUGGGGUAAUGGCCUACCGAGGCGAUGAUAAGUAGGCGGCUUUAACGAGUGGUCGCCCACACUGGGAUUGAGAAACGGCCCAGACUCCUACGGGAGGCAG
Molecule: ribosomal RNA, 322 nt
Filed under: uncultured Spirochaetota bacterium
Lineage: Bacteria; Pseudomonadati; Spirochaetota
Description: bacterial SSU rRNA
Rfam family: Bacterial small subunit ribosomal RNA
Source: RNAcentral